UUCAUUGUUGCAUUUGGUCUGAUGCUACAUAUGCUUAGCUCCUGAUGUUGCCGCUGGAAUGCUUGGCCCCGUGAUUGCUGCUUGCAGCUAUAUUUAGGGGCCAAGCACCGAAGGUGCGUAGGCACCUAUUGUUUUCGUUGGCGUUAUUAUUAGGGGCCAAGCACCGAAGGUGCGAAGGCACCUAUUGUGUUUGUUGGCGUUAUUAGGGGCCAAGCACCGAAGGUGCGUAGGCACCUAUUGUAAUCGUUGGCGUUAUUAUUAUUCUGCUUCUUCUUCUUCUUCUUCUUCUUCUUCUUCCGCCGCAAGUCUAUGGCAGCCCAUAGAACCGAUUGCGGGAAAGUUGUAUAAUUUGGCACACUGAUAGAGGACAGUCCCAACAUUAACUAUAGCUAAUUUGAAGUCUCUAACUCCUACUCUCUAGCGCCACCACUUGUCCAAACUUUCAAUGUUUGUAUGCUAAUAACUUUUGAACCGUAAGCCAGAAAAUGGAAAUUCUUUUUUCCUCUGAAUCCUUGGCUCAUGCCAAGUCGAAUGAACCCCAAAAUUCAAAAAUCGCAAGGUUUAGUUUUUUCGCUAUUUUCAAUUUUUCGAAAAACCUACUUUUUCGAACUCGUGCUAGACGGUUAGUCCGAUUGCCACGAAAAUUGGCUCAGAUCAUCUUCAGAUCAUGCUGGCAAAAAGUUAUGGAAUUCAAGUUGAUUCGUCCAACCAUUGUCGAAUGACACGUAAACAAAUUUGACGAAAAGCACGCAAAAAUGCACUUGAGGCUAUAUCUCAGCAACGGUUUGGCAUAUUGAAACCAAACUUGGUGUGUGUUAUAAUAAGCAUGACCUGAGACUACCUGCAGUGUUUCGACACAGCGCCACCUAGUGGUCAGGAGAUAUGAAAAAUGCAUAUUUUGGCUUAUAUCUUCUGAAUGGUUUGGCCAAAAAUCACACAACUGGUCUCUUUAGAUUCAGUGAGUCAUGUCGAGUCGUAUGAUAUGCAAAUUUCCUGUGUCAGCCAUUUUAGGCGUCGGCCAUUUUGAAUUAUGUUUUAAAAUGCUGUAUUUUUUCAACGCAGCAUCAAAUCGUUUCGCAAAUAAUUACAAAAAUAUUCGGCUCCAUGCCCUGAAUGUACUCAAAAAGUUUGGUGGCAGCGCCACCUUGUGGUCAAGAGUUAUAAUGAAUUAUAACAAAAAUGCUAAUAACUUUUGAGUAAAUUAGACAAUUGAAAUGCAAAUGGUCUCCCCGUAUUCUUUGGGUCAUGCCGAGAACAUAGAUACCAAUUAUGCCAAAAUUGGCCAUACUUCCUGUCCGCCAUUUUGAUUAAUGUUGAAAACCUACUUUUUCGAACUCCUCCUAGACCGUUAGUCCGAUUUUCACCAAAUUUGACGUGAAUCAUCUUCAGACCAUGCUGGCAAAAAGUUAUGGAUUUCGUGUCGAUAUACAAAACGGUUCUGAUUUAGCGCAUCAACGAAUUUGCUGGAAGGGUGCCAAAAUGCAUUUGAGGCUGUAUCUCUGCAACGCUUUGACAUUUUUGCACCAAACUUUGUAUGUGUCAUCGCCACCUGACACUGACCAUGCCACAUAAAUUUGGUAACAGCGCCACCUAUUGGUCAAGAGUAAUAAACCAUUCAUUAACCAUGAGUAAUUACACUUUUUAAAAUGCUAAUAACUUUUUAGUCCAUUAGCCUAUUGCAACGAAACUGGGCUCAAAAUAUUCCCUGGCUUAUGCCGAUAACAUAGAUACCAAAUAUGCCAGUGUUUACUGAAGUUCCGGUCCACCAUUUUGAUUUAUGUGGAAAACCUACUUUUUCGAACUCCUCAUGAACCGUAUGUCCAAUUUUCACCAAAUUCGAAUCAGAUGAUCUUCAGACUAUGUUGACACAAAGUUAUGGAUUUUGUGUCGAUAGACAAAACCGUUUUCGCAUACCAAAGCGACGAAGUUGAAACACAAUGACAAAAUGACACUUGAGGCUGCAUCUCUGGAAUGCUGUGGCAUAUUAACACCAAACUUUGUGUGUGUCAUUGAAAAGUCAAACAGAGUACACCAAAUUGAUUUCAUAACAGUGCCACCUAUUGGUCAAACUUUAUAAGCCAAGUAAUCAUGCUACUAGAGGUGGUAUUAUGAUUUUUUUUUGCCAUUUCAAUUACAAUAAUUCCAAAAUUACUAUUAUUGCUCAUUAAUGUAUUUGGUGUGAUGCUUCAUGCCAUGCUUAGCUCCUACAUUUGCCGUUGGAGUGCUUGGCCCCGUAAUUGCUGCUUGCAGCUAUAUUUAUUAUUAUUAGGGGCCAAGCACCGAAGGUGCGUAGGCACCUAUUGUAAUCGUUGGCGUUAUUAUUAUUCUGCUUCUUCUUCUUCUUCUUCUUCUUCUUCUUCCGCCGCAAGUCUAUGGCAGCCCAUAGAACCGAUUGCGGGAAAGUUGUAUAAUUUGGCACACUGAUAGAGGACAGUCCCAACAUUAACUAUAGCUAAUUUGAAGUCUCUAACUCCUACUCUCUAGCGCCACCACUUGUCCAAACUUUCAAUGUUUGUAUGCUAAUAACUUUUGAACCGUAAGCCAGAAAAUGGAAAUUCUUUUUUCCUCUGAAUCCUUGGCUCAUGCCAAGUCGAAUGAACCCCAAAAUUCAAAAAUCGCAAGGUUUAGUUUUUUCGCUAUUUUCAAUUUUUCGAAAAACCUACUUUUUCGAACUCGUGCUAGACGGUUAGUCCGAUUGCCACGAAAAUUGGCUCAGAUCAUCUUCAGACCAUGCUGGCAAAAAGUUAUGGAAUUCAAGUUGAUUUGUCCAACCAUUGUCGAAUGACACGUAAACAAAUUUGACGAAAAGCACGCAAAAAUGCACUUGAGGUUAUAUCUCAGCAACGGUUUGGCAUAUUGAGACCAAACUUGGUGUGUGUUAUAAUAAGCAUGACCUGAGACUACCUGCAGUGUUUCGACACAGCGCCACCUAGUGGUCAGGAGAUAUGAAAAAUGCAUAUUUUGGCUUAUAUCUUCUGAAUGGUUUGGCCAAAAAUCACACAACUGGUCUUUUUAGAUUCAGUGAGUCAUGUCGAGUCGUAUGAUAUGCAAAUUUCCCGUGUCAGCCAUUUUAGGCGUCGGCCAUUUUGAAUUAUGUUUUAAAAUGCUGUAUUUUUUCAACGCAGCAUCGUAUCAUUUCGCAAAUAAUUACAAAAAUAUUCGGCUCCAUGCCCUGAAUGUACUCAAAAAGUUUGGUGGCAGCGCCACCUUGUGGCCAAUAGUUAUAAUGAAAUAUCACAUAAAUGCUAAUAACUUUUGAAUAAAUUAGUCUAUUAAAAUUAAAAUGGUCUCGCUAUAUUCUGUGGGUCAUGCCGAGAGUAUUGAUACCAAUAAUGUGAAAAUUGGCCUUACUUCCUGUCCGCCAUUUUGCUUAAUGUUGAAAACCUACUUUUUCGAACUCCUCCUAGACCGUUAGCCCAAUUUUCACCAAAUUUGACGUGCAUCAUCUUCAGACCAUGCUGGCAAAAAGUUAUGGAUUUUGUGUCGAUAUACGUAAUGGUUCUCAUUUAGCGCAUCAACGAAUUUGCUGGAAGGGUGCCAAAAUGCAUUUGAGGCUGUAUCUCUGCAACACUUUGACAUAUUUGCACCAAACUUUGUAUGUGUCAUCGCCACCUCACACUGACCAUGCCACAUAAAUUUGGUAACAGCGCCACCUAUUGGUCAAGAGUAAUAAACCAUUCAUUAACCAUGAGUAAUUACACUUUUUAAAAUGCUAAUAACUUUUUAAUGCAUUAGCCUAUUUGAAGGAAACUGGGCUCAAAAUAUUCCCUGGCUUAUGCCGAUAACAUAGAUACCAAAUAUACCACGGUAAGCUGAACUUCCGGUCCGCCAUUUUGAUUUAUGUUGAAAACAUACUUUUUCGAACUCCUGAUCAACCGUAUGUCCGAUUUUCACCAAAUUCGAAUCAAAUGAUCUUCAGGCUAUACUGAUUCAAAGUUAUGGAUUUUGAGUCGAUAGACAAAACCGUUUUCGCAUACCACAUCGACGAAUUUGAGGCACAAUGAGAAAAUGACACUUGAGGCUGUAUCCCUGGAAUGCUUUGGCAUAUUGACACCAAACUUUGUGUGUGUCAUUGAAAAGACACACAGAGUACACCAAAUUGAUUUUAUAACAGUGUCACCUAUUGGUCAAGCUUGAUAAACCAAGUAAUCAUGCUACUAGAGGUGGUAUUGGUGUUUUUUUUUUUUUUUUUUUUUGCCAUUUCAAAUACAAUAAUUCCAAAAUUGCUGUUAUUGCUCAUUAAUGUAUUUGGUGUGAUGCUUUAUGCGAUGCUUAGCUACUACAUUUGCCGUUGGAGUGCUUGGCCCCGUAAUUGCUGCUUGCAGCUAUAUUUAGGGGCCAAGCACCGAAGGUGCGUAGGCACCUAUUGUUUUCGUUGGCGUUAUUAUUCUUCUUCUUCUUCUUCCGCCGCAAGUCUAUGGCAGCCCAUAGAACCGUUUGCGGGAAAGUUGUAUAAUUUGGCACACUGAUAGAGGACAGUCCCAACAUUAACUAUAGCAAAUUUGAAGCCUCUAACUCCUACUCUCUAGCGCCACCACUUGUCCAAACUUUCAAUGUUUGUAUGCUAAUAACUUUUGAACCGUAAGCCAGAAAAUGGAAAUUCUUUUUUCCUCUGAAUCCUUGGCUCAAGCCAAGUCGAAUGAACCCUAAAAUUCAAAAAUCGCAAGGUUUAGUUUUUUCGCUAUUUUCAACUUUUCGAAAAACUUACUUUUUCGAACUCGUCCUAGACGGUUUGUCCGAUUUUCACGAAAAUUGGCUCAGAUCAACAACAGACCAUGCUGGCAAAAAGUUAUGGAAUUCAAGUUGAUUCGUCCAACCGUUCUCGAAUGACACGUGAAAAAAUAUGAUGAAAAGCACGCAAAAAUACACGUGAGGCUAUAUCUCCGCAACGGUUUGGCGUAUUGAGACCAAACUUGGUGUGUGUUAUAAUAAGCAUGACCUGAGACUACCUGCAGUGUUUCGACACAGCGCCACCUAGUGGUCAGGAGAUAUGAAAAAUGCAUAUUUUGGCUUAUAACUUCUGAUUGGUUUGGCAAAAAAUCACACAACUGGUCUCUUUAGAUUCAGUGAGUCAUGGCGAGUCGAAUGAUAUCCAAUUUUCCUGUGUCGGCCAUUUUAAGCGUCGGCCAUUUUGAAUUAUGUUUUAAAAUGCUGUAUUUUUUGAACGCAGCAUCGUAUCGUUUCGCAAAUAAUUACAAAACUAUUCGGCUCCAUGCCCUGAAGGUACUCAAAAAGUUUGAUGGCAGCGCCACCUUGUGGCCAAUAGUUAUAAUGAAAUAUCACAUAAAUGCUAAUAACUUUUGAAUAAAUUAGACUAUUAAAAUUAAAAUGAUCUCGCUAUAUUCUGUGGGUCAUGCCGAGAGCAUUGAUACCAAUUAUGUGAAAAUUGGCCUUACUUCCUGUCCGCCAUUUUGCUUAAUGUUGAAAACCUACUUUUUCAAACUCCUCCUAGACCGUUAGUCCAAUUUUCACCAAAUUUGACGUGAAUCAUCUUCAGACCAUGCUGGCAAAAAGUUAUGGAUUUCGUGUCGAUAUACGUAACGGUUCUCAUUUAGCGCAUCAACGAAUUUGCUGGAAGGGUGCCAAAAUGCAUUUGAGGCUGUAUCUCUGCAACACUUUGACAUAUUUGCACCAAAUUUUGUAUGUGUCAUCGCCACCUCACACUGACCAUGCCACAUAAAUUUGGUAACAGCGCCACCUAUUGGUCAAGAGUAAUAAACCAUUCAUUAACCAUGAGUAAUUACACUUGUAAAAAUGCUAAUAACUUUUUAUUGCAUUAGCCUAUUUGAAUGAAACUGGGCUCAAAAUAUUCCCUGGCUUAUGCCGAUAACAUAGAUACCAAAUAUACCAUAGUAAGCUGAACUUCCGGUCCGCCAUUUUGAUUUAUGUUGAAAACCUACUUUGUCGAACUCCUCAUCAACCGUAGGUCCGAUUUUCACCAAAUUCGAAUCAAAUGAUCUUCAGACUAUGCUGACUCAAAGUUAUGGCUUUUGAGUCGAUAGACAAAACCGUUUUCGCAUACCACAUCGACGAAUUUGAGGCACAAUGAGAAAAUGACACUUGAGGCUGUAUCCCUGGAAUGCUUUGGCAUAUUGACACCAAACUUUGUGUGUGUCAUUGAAAAGUCACACAGAGUACACCAAAUUGAUUUUAUAACAGUGCCACCUAUUGGUCAAGCUUGAUAAGCCAAGUAAUCAUGCUACUAGAGGUGGUAUUAUAAUUUUUUUUGCCAUUUCAAUUACAAUAAUUCCAAAAUUGCUGUUAUUGCUCAUUAAUGAAUUUGGUGUGAUGCUUCAUGCGAUGCUUAGCUCCUACAUUUGCCGUUGGAGUGCUUGGCCCCGUAAUUGCUGCUUGCAGCUAUAUUUAGGGGCCAAGCACCGAAGGUGCGAAGGCACCUAUUGUGUUUGUUGGCGUUAUUAUUAGGGGCCAAGCACCGAAGGUGCGAAGGCACCUAUUGUGUUUGUUGGCGUUAUUAUUAUUAUUCUUCUUCUUCCACCCCAAGUCUAUGGUAGCCCAUAGAACCGAUUGCGGGAAAGUUGUAUAAUUUGGCACACUAAUAGAGGACUGUCUGAACAUUAACCGUAGCAAAUUUGAAGUCUCUAACUCAAACUCUCUAGCGCCACCAAUUGUCUAAACUUUCAAAAACUUGAUGCUAAUAACUCUUGAACCGUAAGCCACAAAAUGAAAAUUCUUUUUUCCUGUGAUUCCUUGGCUCAUGCCGAGUCGAAUGGACACCGAAAUUCAAAAAUCGCAAGGCUUAGUUUUUUCGCUAUCGUCAAUUGUUCGUAAAACCUACUUUUUCGAACUCGUCCUAGGCCGUUGCACCGAUUGUCACGAAAAUUGAAUCAGAUCAUCUUCAGACCAUGCUGGCAAAAAGUUAUGGAAUUCAAGUUGAUUUCUCAAACCGUUUCCGAAUAGCUCAUGAACGAAUUCUUUGAAAAGCACGCAAACGUGAACGUGAGGCUAUAUCUCCGCAACGGUUUGGCCUAUUGAGACCAAUCUUGGUGGGUCUUAUAACAACCAUUCCCUGGGACUACCCGCAGUGUUUCGGCGCUGUGCCCCCUAGUGGUCAGGAGAUAUGAAAAAUGCAUGUUUUUGCUCAUAACUUCUGAACGGUUUUGCCAAAAAUCACAAAAGUGGUGUCUUUAGAUUCAGUGCAUCAUUCCGAGUCGAAUGAUACCGAAUUUUCCCAAUUCGGCCAUUUUGGGCGUCGGCCAUUUUGAAUUUAGUUGUAAAUUGCUGUAUCUUAAGAAUGAAGUUCCGUAUCGUUUCGCAAAUAAUUACAAAAAUGUCCGGCUCCAUGCCCUGAAUGUACACAAAAAAAUUGGGGGCAGCGCCACCUUGUGGUCAAUAGUUAUAACGAUUUUUCGAAAAAUGCUAAUAACUUUUGCAUACAUUAGCCUAUUGUAACAAAGCUGAUGUUGAUAGAUUCCUUGGGUCAUGCCGAGAACAACGAUACCCCAUUUGUCAAUUUUGGCAAAAUUUCCUGUCCGCCAUUUUGAUUCAUGUUGAAAACCUACUUUUUCGAACUCCUCCUAGACCGUUGCUCAGAUUUUCACCAAAUUCGAUUUGGAUCAUCUUCAGACCAUGCUGGCAAAAAGUUAUGGAAUUUGUGUCGAUACACGUAACCGUUUUCAAUUAGCGUACCAACGAAUUUGCUGGAAAGAUGCCAAACUGCAUCUGAGGCUGUAUCUCUGCAAAGGUUGGAGAUAUUUACACAAAACUUAAUAUGUGACAUUGUCACAUCACAUUGACCACGCCACAUCAUUUUGGUCACAGCGCCACCUAUUGGUCAAGAGUAAUAAACCAAUCAAUAACCGCUAAUUAUUACAUUUCCAAUAAUGCUAAUAACUUUUGAUUGCAUUAGCCUAUUAUCAUGAAACAUGUCUCAAAAUGUUCCUUGGGACAUGCCGACAACAUACAUACCAAUUAUGUCAUAUUAAGCAAAACUUCCUGUCCGCCAUUUUGAUUCAUGUUGAAAACCUUUUUUUUUAAACUCAUCCUCAACCGUUUGUCUGAUUUUCACCAAAAUUGAAUCAGAUCAUCUUCAGACCGUGCUGACAAAAAGUUAUGGAUUUCGUGUCAAUAGACGAAACCGUUUUUGAACAGCGCUGCUUC
Carassius gibelio (silver crucian carp) is the source of this 8118-nucleotide long non-coding RNA. RefSeq lists it as uncharacterized. The transcript is spliced from 7 exons. The record is from RefSeq and is a predicted model, not a curated record. NCBI's taxonomy places the organism in Eukaryota, Metazoa, Chordata, Actinopteri, Cypriniformes, Cyprinidae.